Raphanus sativus (radish) is the source of this 1375-nucleotide long non-coding RNA. RefSeq lists it as uncharacterized. The record is from RefSeq and is a predicted model, not a curated record. The transcript has 7 exons. NCBI's taxonomy places the organism in Eukaryota, Viridiplantae, Streptophyta, Magnoliopsida, Brassicales, Brassicaceae.
UUCACGGCUGUAGCCCAUGUGAGUCUCCAUUCUCCACGCUGUUGUCGUAACCCUAUCUUCUUCAUCGCUUACCUUUCGACUCCCACCCCUUCCAUUUCUCAUCUCUCCCAAUCCGUUUCAAGGAUUAACUUCACCGCAAUUUUUCAACUUCAUCUCUCUCAAGGCCGAUGGACCCUAAUUUUUCUGUAUCGAAGAAACGAGCUCUCUCUCUCUUUCGUACGGCGAUGAAUCUUUGACGUCUUAUCUUCCUUUCACCAUCUGAAACGGUCCGGCGUCGUGUUUACUCCAUUGAUUCACUCCCCCCCCCCCCACGAUGUCUUCUUCAAUGAUUUGUUCCGAUCUACAAGCCGGUGUUUUUCUGUAUAAAUAUAUGGGCAGAGAGUAUGUGAGAGCAAUAGAUAGUGAGAGAGGAGAUAAUGAAUGGUGGUGAUGAGAUCAGAGCUUCGUCGUUUUAGAUCGGACAUUCUCAGUUCAGGCGAAGAAGUUCGAGAAGGCUGUACUGCUUACAAGCAAGGGACUGGACGAGAAACGUCUGUGUUAGAAUUGGUUGCUGCUUUUAAAAAAGCUUCUGGCAAGAAAAUACCUACCAAGCUUUGUCCGAGAAGGGCAGGAGAUGCAACUGCAGUUUAUGCUUCAACAGAGAGAACUGAGAAAGAACUUGGCUGGAAGUAGAUUGUCUUUUAUUCAACUGAGCCAAGUGUUUUACGAAAAUCAAAGGUGGCUUGAGGUACUUCAGCUUUUGUUUGCAGUUCUUUCAGUGAGUGUCAACCUCCACAUGAGAAACAGAGGAUGCAACUUAACAGAGAACUGGGUUUAGGUCCAAGACGGAUAAAGUUUUGGUUUCAGAACCGAAGAAUACAGAAUAAGGCACAACAAGAAAGAGUUAAUAGUUGUGCACUCAAGGAAGAGAAUGAUUGGAUUCAUUGCGAAAACAUUGCCAUUCGAGAAGCUCACAAACACACCAUUUGCCAUAACUGUGGUGAUGCUCCUGUUCAUGACGACUCUUUGAUGAACAGAAGCUUUGAAUCUAAAAUGCUUCUAGCUUUUUCUUUACCAUCUCAUGUUCAAAACAAUGAUACUUUGUUCAUAGAGAAGCUCCUCUCAGGCUGUCCUGUUCUUGAAGAUUUCACGGUGUGUAGGGUUUUUGAUGACAGUGUACCUGUUCAGCGUGUGAGAUCUCAGUGUCUUAAGAGGUUUUGUGUAAAGUUUGGCCGUCAAAGAAGAAUUUUUGGUAAAGAGUAUGCGGUUGGUGCCAGUUUAAUGAGAACUGUUGGUAUCAAAUCUUUUUUUACUAUUUGUUACUAUAUGUUGUUGAGACCUCACAAGAAAAGUAAGAAAAUAUGAGGAAACCAUAAGAGUAAAUAAACUAAUACAA